GAUGAACGCUGGCGGCGUGCUUAACACAUGCAAGUCGAACGGAAAGGCCCAAGCUUGCUUGGGUUCUCGAGUGGCGAACGGGUGAGUAACACGUGGGUGAUCUGCCCUGCACUUCGGGAUAAGCCUGGGCAACUGGGUCUAAUACCUGAUAGGACGAUGGUUUGGAUGCGAUUGUGGAAAGUUUUUUCGGUGUGGGAUGAGCUCGCGGCCUAUCAGCUUGUUGGUGGGGUAGUGGCGUAACAAGGCGUAGACGUGUAUCCGGCAUGAGAGGGUUGACGGCCACACUGGGACUGAGAGACAGCCCAGAGUCCUACGGGAGGCAGCAGUGGGGAAUAUUGGACAAAGGGAGCAAGCGUGAGGCAGCGACGCCGCGUGAGGGAUGACGGCCUUCGGGUGGUAAAAUCCUUUGGCUAGGGACGAAGCGUUUUUGUGACGGUACCUGGAGAAGAAGCACCGGCUAACUACGUG
This 468-nucleotide ribosomal RNA is filed under the name uncultured bacterium. Its description in RNAcentral is "partial 16S ribosomal RNA". It matches the Rfam family "Bacterial small subunit ribosomal RNA", at positions 28 to 507 of the family's 1533-position model. The record is from RNAcentral.